CAGUAGCCGCGGGAAUACGUAGGUGGCAAGCGUUGUCCGGAAUUAUUGGGCGUAAAGGGCUCGCAGGCGGUUUCUUAAGUCUGAUGUGAAAGCCCCCGGCUCGACCGGGGAGGGUCAUUGGAAACUGGGAAACUUGAGUGCAGAAGAGGAGAGUGGAAUUCCACGUGUAGCGGUGAAAUGCGUAGAGAUGUGGAGGAACACCAGUGGCGAAGGCGACUCUCUGGUCUGUAACUGACGCUGAGGAGCGAAAGCGUGGGGAGCGAACAGGAUUAGAUACCCGCGUAGUCCCUGUCUCUUAUAC
Molecule: ribosomal RNA, 301 nt
Filed under: uncultured bacterium
Lineage: Bacteria
Description: partial 16S ribosomal RNA
Rfam family: Bacterial small subunit ribosomal RNA
Source: RNAcentral